AUCUACUGCCAUAGCACACUGAUCUGGGAAGCUAAGCAGGAUCAGGCCAGGUCAGUACUUAAAUGGGAGACUACCUGGGAAUACUGGGUGCAAUAGUCU
Cercocebus atys (sooty mangabey) is the source of this 99-nucleotide ribosomal RNA. The record is from Ensembl. Lineage: Eukaryota; Metazoa; Chordata; Mammalia; Primates; Cercopithecidae.